Molecule: long non-coding RNA, 1261 nt
Organism: Harpia harpyja (harpy eagle)
Lineage: Eukaryota; Metazoa; Chordata; Aves; Accipitriformes; Accipitridae
Exons: 3
Source: RefSeq, a predicted model, not a curated record
AAGAUGAGCGCUUCCUCACUAACCACCGCAUCAGAAGAAAAACACCAGAUAAGCAGAUGUUGCUUAGGCAGCGAUCAGCUAGGCAGUGUGUGUGCGUAUGGGGGAGAGGGAUGGAGAUACAGUCAGGCAGCGUAUGUAUUAAGGCACUGUGGUGAGUGUGUGUGUGGCUGCAAGUGACGGCAAAUGUGUGUGCGUGUGCGAGAAAAUGACACAUGAGCAAACCCGAGCUGCUCCAGUGAGUAUUUUGUAUGUAUUUUUAAGAGAAAGCAACAAGAAGCAGCCAGGGGAGAGAGACUGAAAAGGCAAGGUAGGAAUGACCAGGCAAUUGCGUGGCUAACAGCAGCACAAGGUACAUACAGAAAAAACCCCAAAACAUCAGGCUUGAUGGAUUCUGGGUCGGGACUGUUGUGAAGAGUUCUAACUCCCUGUGGAUUUGGUUUCAGUAUCACUGGUCAGAACAUGCCAAAAUGUGGGAAUUUAUAAUUAAAAUUUUAAGAAGGGGAUGGGUGUACAGGUCUCUGAAUUAUGGCAACAAAAGGUUCAAGCUGAAAUAAACACUGAAGUCUCAUACGGGGUGAGAAGAGUGCUUGACUGUUUCCUGAUGGUGAUCCUCUCAACAGUGAUGAAAAUCAGCUAGAGGUAAAUAAAAUUAAACGUUCUCUUUAUGAUAAAUGAGAAACCUGAUCUUAGUGCCCACUUAUUUUUAACCUCACAGUUGCACUCUAUUUGUCGACAACCUGGGGGGGGGGGGGAGGCAGAGGUGCUAGAGGCUCUGGUAUUUUGUUUUUCCCAGGGCUUGAAAUUGGCCUUGGGUGCUGCGUACCUGGGUGAUAAAUGUGUUUCCAUCUUCUCUGAAGAUGCCUAGCAUCUGCAUUUCUCUUUGCUCUGUAAAGCCACCUCCUUUCCACUGCUUAACUAAGCUCUCAGAUGUUAUUUGAACAAAGAGGUGCUGUUAUUUAGGCAAGAAAACCAGAAAUAAGGCCAGCGUGUUUAUUCUCUUCCUUCAAGUGUAUAAGUCCUUUGACUAAUGGUGACAAGAUUUCUGUUCCUGUUGAGUUGCUAGCUUCUUCACAGGUGCUACCGAAUAAAUACAUCAGUUUGGAAGAUGAUUUCUUACAACCGUCUGGCAAAUUGCAGUGACACGGUCAACUCAUUUCUCAUAUGCCUUUAUCAGAUAGCUACCAGAUUAAAGACUAAAUGAACAACACCUACUUCGAUUAGAUACCAGAUUAAAGACCAAAUGAACAAUACUUACUUGGAU